UACGAACGCUGGCGGCGUGCUUAACACAUGCAAGUCGAGCGAUGAAGUUCCUUCGGGAACGGAUUAGCGGCGGACGGGUGAGUAACACGUGGGUAACCUGCCUCAUAGAGGGGAAUAGCCUUCCGAAAGGAAGAUUAAUACCGCAUAAGAUUGUAGCUUCGCAUGAAGUAGCAAUUAAAGGAGUAAUCUGCUAUGAGAUGGACCCGCGUCGCAUUAGCUAGUUGGUGAGGUAACGGCUCACCAAGGCGACGAUGCGUAGCCGACCUGAGAGGGUGAUCGGCCACAUUGGGACUGGGACACGGCCCAGACUCCUACGGGAGGCAGCAGUGGGGAAUAUUGCACAAUGGGGGAAACCCUGAUGCAGCAACGCCGCGUGAGUGAUGACGGUCUUCGGAUUGUAAAACGCUGUCUUCAGGGACGAUAAUGACGGUACCUGAGGAGGAAGCCACGGCUAACUACGUGCCAGCCGCCGCGGUAA
This 478-nucleotide ribosomal RNA is filed under the name uncultured bacterium. RNAcentral's name for it is "partial 16S ribosomal RNA". It matches the Rfam family "Bacterial small subunit ribosomal RNA", at positions 29 to 523 of the family's 1533-position model. The record is from RNAcentral.